UACGUAGGGUGCAAGCGUUAAUCGGAAUUACUGGGCGUAAAGCGUGCGCAGGCGGUGAUGUAAGACAGAUGUGAAAUCCCCGGGCUCAACCUGGGAACUGCAUUUGUGACUGCAUCGCUAGAGUACGGCAGAGGGGGAUGGAAUUCCGCGUGUAGCAGUGAAAUGCGUAGAUAUGCGGAGGAACACCGAUGGCGAAGGCAAUCCCCUGGGCCUGCACUGACGCUCAUGCACGAAAGCGUGGGGAGCAAACAGG
RNAcentral lists this ribosomal RNA (253 nucleotides) under uncultured bacterium. RNAcentral's name for it is "partial 16S ribosomal RNA". It matches the Rfam family "Bacterial small subunit ribosomal RNA", at positions 524 to 776 of the family's 1533-position model. The record is from RNAcentral.